RNAcentral lists this long non-coding RNA (222 nucleotides) under Elaeis guineensis (African oil palm). RNAcentral describes it as "long non-coding RNA (EGUI_LNC051781)". The record is from RNAcentral. Lineage: Eukaryota; Viridiplantae; Streptophyta; Magnoliopsida; Arecales; Arecaceae.
CUAUACUUCUCUUACUGCUCUCCAUGCGUAGAUUUUGAUAGAGAUCAAAGGAGAGGAGUAUUUACGACACCCCCCAUCAAUGAAAGCACCAUCGAGGAGCCGAGACAGGAAGAAGUACUAUCGGUUUCAUCGUGAUCACAGUCACGAUAUCGAACAGUGUAUCCAGCUCAGCAAUGAGAUAAAAACCCUGAUUCAAUGAGGCUAUCUUGAAAAAUUCUGACA